This 72-nucleotide transfer RNA is filed under the name Camelus bactrianus (Bactrian camel). It matches the Rfam family "tRNA". Rfam says of the family: Transfer RNA (tRNA) molecules are approximately 80 nucleotides in length. Lineage: Eukaryota; Metazoa; Chordata; Mammalia; Artiodactyla; Camelidae. The record is from Rfam by way of RNAcentral. RNAcentral also lists the same sequence under 2 other names.
GAGGGUAUGGCUUAGUGGUAGAGCACAUGCUUAGCAUGCACGAGGUCCUGGGUUCAAUCCCCAGUACCUCCA